Long non-coding RNA from Alligator mississippiensis (American alligator), 686 nucleotides. RefSeq lists it as uncharacterized. The transcript has 2 exons. The record is from RefSeq and is a predicted model, not a curated record. Lineage: Eukaryota; Metazoa; Chordata; Crocodylia; Alligatoridae.
GGAAGGCUUUGUGGCUCAGGACUCCUGGCUUCUUUUGGGGAUGUCACUUCCCCAGAAUGAACCCACAAAUCAUCUGUGCAUUGAGUCAAUCGAUCCCUUGGGUGAUGCUGUCAGCACGUACAUGGAGCGGUGAUCAACGUGAGCCAUGAUGCACGACUGAUCCCGCAGACCAGCUGCCAGCUCUGGGUGGUGGAGGAGCAGUCCAUCAGCCACAUCAACGGCGACUUCGACUGCAGGCGGGAGGUGCUGGAGGCCUCGGGCCAGGUCAGCAUUAACUGGCCCCGGGAGUGACCUUGCUGUGGGGAGGCUCCUCGAGGACCUGCCCAUCCCCUCUCAGAGACCUGCCUGCACAGCUUCACGUGCGCCCACACCCAGAGGACUCCGUGUAGAGGGGGCAGGGCCGCAGGCAUGGUUGUGGUUGAACUUUGAAGAUCUAUUUUGGGGGCCUAAUGCAAGACAUGUUAUAUUUUUAGAGCUGUUCUUCUACACCUGCUGCUUUCCCAGGGGAGAGAGACUUAAUUUAUAUGAAUGGGAGGGAGGGGGUUGUACUGGAACGGUCUGUUUUAGGCAGGAGUGAGGGCUGUCCUUGUCCCAUUGCUGGGUUCCCUGCCCCCAGUCUGGAGAAUGACUUGAGCCUUGUUUUGCUUCCACCCAAGAAGAUUAUAUUAAAAUAUAAUAAAGGAAAA